AGGAGUGUAGCUCAGCUGGUAGAGCAUCGGUCUCCAAAACCGAGGGCCGGGGGUUCGAGCCCCUCCACUCCUGCCA
RNAcentral lists this transfer RNA (76 nucleotides) under alpha proteobacterium AAP81b. RNAcentral describes it as "tRNA-Trp". It matches the Rfam family "tRNA". From Rfam's summary of the family: Transfer RNA (tRNA) molecules are approximately 80 nucleotides in length. Their secondary structure includes four short double-helical elements and three loops (D, anti-codon, and T loops). Further hydrogen bonds mediate the characteristic L-shaped molecular structure. tRNAs have two regions of fundamental functional importance: the anti-codon, which is responsible for specific mRNA codon recognition, and the 3' end, to which the tRNAs corresponding amino acid is attached (by aminoacyl-tRNA synthetases). tRNAs cope with the degeneracy of the genetic code in two manners: having more than one tRNA (with a specific anti-codon) for a particular amino acid; and 'wobble' base-pairing, i.e. permitting non-standard base-pairing at the 3rd anti-codon position. RNAcentral also lists the same sequence under 13 other names. Lineage: Bacteria; Pseudomonadati; Pseudomonadota; Alphaproteobacteria. The record is from RNAcentral.